ACGGCUCAGUAACACGUAGCUAACCUACCCUCGGGACGGGGACACCCCCGGGAAACUGGGACUAAUCCCCGAUAGGCGUGGAGGCCUGGAAUGGUUCCACACUCAAAUGGGCGUCGACCACGUUUGGCGCCUGCCCGAGGAUGGGGCUGCGGCUGAUCAGGCAGUUGGCGAGGUAACGGCUCACCAAACCUUUGACCAGUACGGGCCAUGAAAGUGGAAGCCCGGAGAUGGACACUGAGAUAGGGGUCCAGGCCCUACGGGGCGCAGCAGGCGCGAAAACUCCACAAUGUACGGAAGUACGAUGGGGUUACCUCGAGUGCAGUCUGAAAAAGGUUGCUUUUCCAUAGAGUAAUAUCCUGUGGGAAUAAGAGGGGGGCAAGACUGGUGUCAGCCGCCGCGGUAACACCAGCCCCUCGAGUGGUGGGGACUAUUAUUUGGCCUAAAGCGUCCGUAGCCGGCUGUAACCGUCUCCCGUCAAAUCCAGCGUCUCAAGCGUUGGACUGCGGGUGAUACCUUGCAGCUUGAGGGUGGGACAGGUGAGCGGUAUUUCCGGGGUAGGGGCGAAAUCCUUUGAUCCCGGGAGGACCACCAGUGGCGAAGGCUGCUCACUAGAACACGCCUGACGGUCAGGGACGAAAGCUGGGGUAGCGAACCGGAUUAGAUACCCGGGUAGUCCCAGCUGUAAACGAUGCGCGCUAGGUGUUGGGUCGGCCAUGAGCCGCCCCAGUGCCGCAGGGAAACUGUUAAGCCUGCCGCCUGGGGAGUACGGUCGCAAGAUUGAAACUUAAAGGAAUUGGCGGGGGAGCAC
This 808-nucleotide ribosomal RNA is filed under the name uncultured archaeon. RNAcentral describes it as "bacterial SSU rRNA". It matches the Rfam family "Archaeal small subunit ribosomal RNA", at positions 85 to 879 of the family's 1478-position model. The record is from RNAcentral.